CCUACGGGAGGCAGCAGUGGGGAAUUUUCCGCAAUGGGCGAAAGCCUGACGGAGCAAUACCGCGUGAGGGAAGACUGCCUAUGGGUUGUAAACCUCUUUUUUCAGGGAGGAAUAAAAUGACGUGUACCUGAAGAAUAAGCAUCGGCUAACUCCGUGCCAGCAGCCGCGGUAAGACGGAGGAUGCAAGUGUUAUCCGGAAUCACUGGGCGUAAAGCGUCUGUAGGUGGUUUAAUAAGUCAACUGUUAAAUCUUGAGGCUCAACUUCAAAACCGCAGUCGAAACUAUUAGACUAGAGUAUAGUAGAGGUAAAGGGAAUUUCCAGUGGAGCGGUGAAAUGCGUAGAUAUUAGAAAGAACACCGAUGGCGAAAGCACUUUACUGGGCUAUUACUAACACUCAGAGACGAAAGCUAGGGUAGCAAAUGGGAUUAGAUACCCCAGUAGUCCUAGCCGUAAACUAUGGAUACUAGAUGUUGAACAGAUCGACCUGUGCAGUAUCAAAGCUAACGCGUUAAAGUAUCCCGCUGGGGAAUAUGCUCGCAAGNGAGAACUACAAUAGAUAGACGCGNGAGACGNGCGACGACGACGACGAGGAGAGG
This 597-nucleotide ribosomal RNA is filed under the name uncultured bacterium. Its description in RNAcentral is "bacterial SSU rRNA". It matches the Rfam family "Bacterial small subunit ribosomal RNA", at positions 338 to 961 of the family's 1533-position model. The record is from RNAcentral.